Molecule: ribosomal RNA, 234 nt
Filed under: Chloroflexota bacterium
Lineage: Bacteria; Bacillati; Chloroflexota
Description: Chloroflexi bacterium partial 16S ribosomal RNA
Rfam family: Bacterial small subunit ribosomal RNA
Source: RNAcentral
CAGGCUGAAACCCGCCUGCAUGAACGCGGAAUCGCUAGUAACCGCAGGUCAGCAUACUGCGGUGAAUACGUUCCCGGGCCUUGUACACACCGCCCGUCACGUCAUGGAAGCCGAGAACGAUUGAAGUCGCUGAGCUAACCCUUUGGGAGGCAGGCGCCGAGGUCGGGUUCGGUAACUGGGACGAAGUCGUAACAAGGUAGCUGUACCGGAAGGUGCGGCUGGAUCACCUCCUUU